UACCAGCACCCCGAGUGGUCGGGACGAUUAUUGGGCCUAAAGCAUCCGUAGCCGGUUCUACAAGUCUUCCGUUAAAUCCACCUGCUUAACAGAUGGGCUGCGGAGGAUACUAUGGAGCUAGGAGGCGGGAGGGGCAAGCGGUACUUAGUGGGUAGGGGUAAAAUCCGUUGAUCCAUUGAAGACCACCAGUGGCGAAGGCGGCUUGCCAGAACGCACUCGACGGUGAGGGAUGAAAGCUGGGGGAGCAAACCGG
Molecule: ribosomal RNA, 253 nt
Filed under: uncultured bacterium
Lineage: Bacteria
Description: partial 16S ribosomal RNA
Rfam family: Archaeal small subunit ribosomal RNA
Source: RNAcentral